Long non-coding RNA from Ostrinia furnacalis (Asian corn borer), 270 nucleotides. RefSeq lists it as uncharacterized. The transcript is spliced from 3 exons. NCBI's taxonomy places the organism in Eukaryota, Metazoa, Arthropoda, Insecta, Lepidoptera, Crambidae. The record is from RefSeq and is a predicted model, not a curated record.
AUUUAUUGCGUGCUGCCAUUCGUCAUCGCCGGCCUGUGGAUACUUUUCAAGCUGAUAAAAACACCUUGACGCGUAAUUGCGAAGUGAUCUUGUGCAAUUAUAAUGUAAAUCUUAUAACGUGCAAGCUAGACAAUAUCUAAUUUGCGGCGAAGUAAAUAAACAAUUUAACUGAAUAGUACAUUAUUGACAGCACAAAUAUUAUUUUGACCCAAGAUGUCGCUCUGGGCUAGAGCGCAACAGCUGCCACCAGAGAGCUUGCAGAAGGUAAGC